UGGUCAAGUUAUUAAGGGUGCAGGGCGGAUGCCUUGGCACUAGGAGCCGAUGAAGGACGUGAUAAGCUGCGAUAAGCUUCGGGGAGUUGCACGUAAACUUUGAUCCGAAGAUUUCCGAAUGAGGAAACUCACUUAGAGUAAUGUCUAAGUAUCAUUAAGUGAAUACAUAGCUUAAUGAGGGGAACUCAGGGAACUGAAACAUCUAAGUACCUGAAGGAAGAGAAAGAAAUUCGAUUCCGUAAGUAGCGGCGAGCGAACGCGGAUUAGCCCAAACCAAUAAAGUUUUCUUUAUUGGGGUUGCGGACAUAUCAUAACGAAGAGGUAUCGUAAUUGAAGAGGUUUGGAAAGACCCACCACAGAAGGUAAUAGUCCUGUAUGUUAAACGAGAAGACUUUAGAUAUGAUCCAGAGUACCACGGGACACGUGAAACCCUGUGGGAAGCAGGAGGGACCACCCUCCAAGGCUAAAUACUACCUAGUGACCGAUAGCGUAUAGUACCGUGAGGGAAAGGUGAAAAGAACCCCGGGAGGGGAGUGAAAUAGAACCUGAAACCCUGCACUUACAAGCUGUGGAAGCACAUUUCUUGUGUGACCGCGUACUUUUUGUAGAACGGGCCAACGAGUUACGUUAAGUAGCAAGGUUAAGCAAUUAAGGUGCGGAGCCGUAGCGAAAGCGAGUUUUAACUGAGCGUUCAGUUACUUGACGUAGACCCGAAACCGGGCGACCUACCCAUGAGCAGGAUGAAGCGAAAGUAAAAUUUCGUGGAGGUCCGAACCCACGAGCGUUGAAAAGCUCGGGGAUGACUUGUGGGUAGCGGUGAAAUUCCAAUCGAGCCCGGAGAUAGCUGGUUCUCCCCGAAAUAGCUUUAGGGCUAGCCUCAAGGUGAGAGAUACGGAGGUAGAGCACUGAAUGUCCUAGGGGGUAUUGCACCUACCGAAGACUAUCAAACUCCGAAUGCCGUCAUCUUAUACUUGGGAGUCAGACUGUGGGUGAUAAGAUUCAUAGUCGAAAGGGCAACAGCCCAGAUCGUCAGCUAAGGUCCCUAAAUGUAAGUUAAGUGGUAAAGGAUGUGGGAUUGCACAGACAACCAGGAUGUUGGCUUAGAAGCAGCCACUCAUUCAAAGAGUGCGUAAUAGCUCACUGGUCGAGUGAUCCUGCGCCGAAGAUUUCCGGGGCUAAAACUUACUACCGAAGCUACGGCAUCAGUAAUGAUGGGUAGGGGAGCUUCCCAUACGGGUUGAAGCAUGACCGUAAGGACAUGUGGACAGUAUGGGAGUGAGAAUGUUGGCAUGAGUAGCGAGAUGUGGGUGGGAAUCCCACAGGCCGUAAACCCAAGGUUUCCAGGGGAAGGUUCGUCCGCCCUGGGUUAGUCGGGACCUAAGCUGAGGCCGAAAGGCGUAGGUGAUGGACAACAGGUUGAUAUUCCUGUACUACCGAUAACCGUUUGAGAGAAGGGAUGACACAGUAGGAUAAGCUAAGCACACUGUUGGUUAUGUGUGCCCAAGCAUUGAGGCAGUCAAAGUAGGCAAAUCCGCUUUGAUAAUGCUGGGAUGUGAUGGGGAGCGAAAUUUAGUAGCGAAGUAGCUGAUUUCACACUGUCAAGAAAAGUCUCUAUCGAGGUUAAAGGUACCCGUACCGCAAACCGACACAGGUGGGUGAGGAGAGUAUCCUAAGGCCAGCGAGAGAACUGUUGUUAAGGAACUCGGCAAAAUGACCCCGUAACUUAGGGAUAAGGGGUGCCACCAUCAGGUGGCCGCAGAGAAUAGGCCCAAGCGACUGUUUACCAAAAACAUAGGUUUCUGCUAAGUCGCAAGACGAUGUAUAGGAGCUGACGCCUGCCCGGUGCUGGAAGGUUAAGGGGAUCUGUUAGAGCAAUCGAAGCAGUGAACUUAAGCCCCAGUAAACGGCGGCCGUAACUAUAACGGUCCUAAGGUAGCGAAAUUCCUUGUCGGGUAAGUUCCGACCCGCACGAAAGGCGUAACGAUUUGGGCACUGUCUCAACAACAGACUCGGUGAAAUUGUAAUUCCGGUGAAGAUGCCGGAUACCUGCGACAGGACGGAAAGACCCCAUGGAGCUUUACUGUAGCUUGACAUUGGGUCUUGGUACUACAUGUACAGGAUAGGUGGGAGGCUUUGAAACCAGGACGCCAGUUUUGGCGGAGCCAUCCUUGGGAUACCACCCUUGUAGUACUGGGACUCUAACCAUAGGCCAUGAAUCUGGUCUUGGGACACUGUCAGGUGGGCAGUUUGACUGGGGCGGUCGCCUCCCAAAAGGUAACGGAGGCGCUCAAAGGUUCUCUCAGUACGGUCGGAAAUCGUACGUAGAGUGUAAAGGCAAAAGAGAGCUUGAUUGCAAGACAUACAGGUCGAGCAAGGAUGAAAAUCGGACUUAGUGAUCCGGUGGUUCUGCGUGGAAGGGCCAUCGCUCAACGGAUAAAAGCUACCCUGGGGAUAACAGGCUUAUCUCCCCCAAGAGUCCACAUCGACGGGGAGGUUUGGCACCUCGAUGUCGGCUCAUCACAUCCUGGGGCUGUAGUAGGUCCCAAGGGUUGGGCUGUUCGCCCAUUAAAGUGGUACGCGAGCUGGGUUCAGAACGUCGUGAGACAGUUCGGUCCCUAUCCGUCGCAGGCGUAGGAAAUUUGAGAAGACCUGUCCUUAGUACGAGAGGACCGGGAUGGACGUACCUCUGGUGUACCAGUUGUCCUGCCAAGGGCAUGGCUGGGUAGCUAUGUGCGGAAUGGAUAAGCGCUGAAAGCAUCUAAGCGCGAAGCCAACUUCAAGAUAAGAUUUCCCACCGCAAGGGUAAGACCCCAGAAAGACUAUCUGGUUGAUAGGUCGAAGGUGUAAGUGCAGCAAUGUAUUUAGCUUAUCGAUACUAAUAGGUCGAGGACUUGACCAAU
Molecule: ribosomal RNA, 2900 nt
Filed under: Clostridioides difficile
Lineage: Bacteria; Bacillati; Bacillota; Clostridia; Peptostreptococcales; Peptostreptococcaceae
Description: 23S ribosomal RNA
Rfam family: Bacterial large subunit ribosomal RNA
Source: RNAcentral